AAGUCGUAACAAGGUUUCCGUAGGUGAACCUGCGGAAGGAUCAUUAAUGAUUGGUGGCUGUUGCUGACUAGUGUUUAGACGAGAACAGGAGUUGACCGGGAUUGUGGUUAUUCACACCGGAUAAUUUAGAAAACUUUCGGCAAUGGAUCUCUUGGCUAUCC
RNAcentral lists this unclassified non-coding RNA (161 nucleotides) under fungal sp. Its description in RNAcentral is "partial internal transcribed spacer region". The stretch from base 1 to 46 matches the Rfam family "Eukaryotic small subunit ribosomal RNA", at positions 1786 to 1831 of the family's 1831-position model. Lineage: Eukaryota; Fungi. The record is from RNAcentral.